This 289-nucleotide ribosomal RNA is filed under the name uncultured Streptococcus sp. Its description in RNAcentral is "partial 16S ribosomal RNA". It matches the Rfam family "Bacterial small subunit ribosomal RNA", at positions 1094 to 1382 of the family's 1533-position model. Lineage: Bacteria; Bacillati; Bacillota; Bacilli; Lactobacillales; Streptococcaceae. The record is from RNAcentral.
GAGCGCAACCCCUACUUGUUAGUUGCCAUCAUUCAGUUGGGGCACUCUAGCGAGACUGCCGGUAAUAAACCGGAGGAAGGUGGGGAUGACGUCAAAUCAUCAUGCCCCUUAUGACCUGGGCUACACACGUGCUACAAUGGUUGGUACAACGAGUUGCGAGUCGGUGACGGCGAGCUAAUCUCUUAAAGCCAAUCUCAGUUCGGAUUGUAGGCUGCAACUCGCCUACAUGAAGUCGGAAUCGCUAGUAAUCGCGGAUCAGCACGCCGCGGUGAAUACGUUCCCGGGCCUU